CCUACGGGAGGCAGCAGUAGGGAAUAUUGCUCAAUGGGGGAAACCCUGAAGCAGCAACGCCGCGUGGAGGAUGAAUGUUUUAGGAUUGUAAACUCCUUUUGUUAGAGAAGAUUAUGACGGUAUCUAACGAAUCAUCUACGUCGAACUCCGUGCCAGCAGCCGUGGUAACACGGAGGGUGCAAGCGUUACUCGGAAACACUGGGCGUAAAGGGUGCGUAGGUGGGUUAAUAAGUCAGAUGUGAAAUCCUGUAGCUUAACUAGAAAAGUGCAUUUGAAACUGGUACUCUGGAGUGUGGGAGAGGUAGGUGGAAUUCUUGGUGUAGGGGUAAAAUCCGUAGAGAUCAAGAAGAAUACUCAUUGCGAAGGCGACCUGCUGGAACAUUACUGACGCUGAUGCACGAAAGCGUGGGGAGCAAACAGGAUUAGAUACCCUGGUAGUC
RNAcentral lists this ribosomal RNA (440 nucleotides) under uncultured bacterium. RNAcentral describes it as "partial 16S ribosomal RNA". It matches the Rfam family "Bacterial small subunit ribosomal RNA", at positions 338 to 795 of the family's 1533-position model. The record is from RNAcentral.